Molecule: ribosomal RNA, 270 nt
Filed under: uncultured bacterium
Lineage: Bacteria
Description: partial 16S ribosomal RNA
Source: RNAcentral
CUGCUGCCUUCCGUAGGAGUCUGGUCCGUGUCUCAGUACCAGUGUGGGGGACCUUCCUCUCAGAACCCCUACGCAUCGUCGCCUCGGUGGGCCGUUACCCCGCCGACUAGCUAAUGCGCCGCAUGCCCAUCCGUAGCCGGAAUCGCUUCCUUUAAUCCCUCAGGGAUGCCCCCGAAAGAUAUUACGCGGUAUUAGACGGAAUUUCUUCCGCUUAUCCCCCUGCUACGGGCAGGUCGCAUACGUGUUACUCACCCGUGCGCCGGUCGCCGU